UUACGGUCAAAUCACGCUGAAACACCGGUUCUCGUUCGAUCACCGAAGUUAAGCAUCGUAGAGCCAGGACAGUACUUAGAUGGGGGACCGCUUGGGAACACCUGGUACUGUAAG
RNAcentral lists this ribosomal RNA (114 nucleotides) under Acanthosepion pharaonis. Lineage: Eukaryota; Metazoa; Mollusca; Cephalopoda; Sepiida; Sepiidae. The record is from RNAcentral.